This is a long non-coding RNA of Bombus terrestris (buff-tailed bumblebee), 3259 nucleotides long. RefSeq lists it as uncharacterized. Lineage: Eukaryota; Metazoa; Arthropoda; Insecta; Hymenoptera; Apidae. The record is from RefSeq and is a predicted model, not a curated record. The transcript has 2 exons.
GUAUUAGCGUGCGAUCGGAAUUCGCGUGAAACUUCAAAUAAACUGCAACAACGUCUCAACGAGAUAGAAUAUUGGCUAAAAACACGAAGAACUGGAAUCAAUACUACGAAAUCUACACGCGUGAAAUUCAUCGUAAAAAGCGAGCAUGCCCUCCAGUAAAAUUAAAUUACUAUCACAGCUGCUAUACUUCGACAAAAAAUUAUCACGGAAAGCGCACGUCCGAAACGCAAGAAAAUAAAGCGAUUGAACGAACGGCGGAAAACUUUGGUGGUUGAUCGACAAAAAAUCACAGCUAAGAACAACGCUAACGACAAACUUGCAACAAACUGAGGAUACGCGAAACUAUUUUCAAGCCCGUGUGAAAUAUACGCCUGUCGAUUAGGGGAGCACAGCCGCGAAUUCCGAUAAAAUCGAUAGAGACACGACAAAACAAAAAUUUGAGAGGCGUUUUGAAAACAGAUCGGUACGUGCCGAACAAACAAACAAAGAAAGAAACCGGUAUAUCCACCGUAAACUAAGAAAUCAGCAGACACAGCGGGUUAUAUCAACAACGGCUGAAGACUCGUCCCAACAACCUGGCUACGAAAUUACUGGACAUCGCGAGAGAAUACGAAAAAUUAAAGACAUCUUCUACGUCUACCAAAUAGAUUUAAUCACAUAAGCUGAGUAACAUCACGACGAUACGUCUCUGGGUGUGUUCAUAUUCGUGUCGACUUAAGUCACCGACCUGUGCUGAUUAUCGUCGUACGAUAAAUCCCAUAUACGCAAAUUAUAACAAUAAAGAGAGGAAGAAAAUAAAGAAUGGGAUUGUAGAUAGGAGAAGAAAAGAGCGAAAAACCGAUAGUGGAGAACGCACGAUGAAGGUAGAUCGUCUUGCGAAGAAGCUUGACGCGGUAACGUUCGAACGGCGCAUAUAUCCGUGGCGUUAAAAGGAGCCUCCUACCUUUUUACUUUAUUUCCGUACGUAAUCAAUAGGCGUUCGAUCGGGUCGGUACAUUUCCGAAGUGGCGUCUCAACGUUCAGAGGAGCGCCUCGCCUCCUUUAUCGAGGUUGUCGGCGUAGGAACGAGCGAGGAAAGGAUACAUAUAGGGAGCGGGAGCAAGAGGGAAAUUGGCAGAAGUGUGUAGACCACUACAUCUUCUUCAAGAAUCACAGAUAUCGUAUAUAAAUAACCAACCGCUUAUUUAUCAUGCUCUAUCGAGAAAGGAACGGAAAAGAAGAGGUGGAGGCAAAAGGCCAUUUUUAUACGAUCGUUUACCACGGGUACUUUUCUUCGCAUAAUAGAAGCUCACCUUCAGAGACGAAAGAAAAGUCGCUUUAAUGAAUGAAAUUCUCGCUGCAAACAAAAUCGAUGCUCGGAAUUUAAGGCCACAGUGAUAAGAUACGAUAAGUUAUAUAGUUCGUUCUUCGUAGGGAAGCAAUUUUUCAAUCGAAUAUGCCGAUAACUAUUCUCGUGGUAAUAAAAUUGUUUCAUUUGAAAAUAUCGCUUGUCAUAAUAUUAUUUAAGUCCUUAGCCUUUAAUAAAAAUUCGGAGAUACAAUACCCAUUUUUACGAGGCCUCAUAUUUUUGCACAUAAUAGCUUCUUCCCCCUUUCCAGCGUCAUAUUGUGCCACAUUAAAAUACUCCCUCUUAGCUAUGGAAUAACAUAAAAUCAGAAAAUAAAAAUGAAUUCGCCAUAUUUUCGUCUUAUGGCUUUCAAUUUUCCCAAACUUUCUAACAUUUAAGGAACCUUUUAUCGUCGUCUUCUUGCACGAUUGAACUAACAUUAUUAUCCUUCUUUUGCAAAUAACGAUGAAAAUGUAACGAAGCUUAUAUUUAGAACGAUACUUAAUUUUAAUUCGUGAAAUUGAAGCCUAUUAAGCACGAGCUGCGUGUGAAGUUUCAACGUCCUUAAUCUGGUACACUGUUUAAACACCGAGUACUACAAUACACAACAUAUAUAAGCACUAAAAAUGACAAAAAUAAAAAGAUAAUCAGGUAAAGUAUAAAAAUCGUUGUUCUCUGCGCCUGGUUUAUUUACGCUGCUUCCUACAGUUUUAAUUACGUCGCAUCCGAUUAUAGCGUUUAUAUGAUAAAGUAGCGGCGAUUAUUAUAAGUCAGCAAGCAGACAUACGUAUGCAUAAAGGACCUUUGUAUUCACAUAAAUGGAGAACAUAUGCAACGUCCAAUGAUAAAGGAAAUUAAUAUUUCAGUUAACAUCUGGUAAAUUCGAAAAUUACUUCUGAAUCUAUGUUCGUUAUAAGCUUUUACUCUACUUGAAUAAGUAUCCUAAAGUUCGGACGGAGCUUUUUCGUUGCGCUGUAUUUUCGAAGAGGACAGAUUGCCUCGGGGUAACUCCACGCUUCGAUAUUGAUAAGAUUCCAAGUUCACUGGAAAGGUUAUUGGGAGAAAAAGUGAAUUAUAUUCGGAAUCAGAGCAUGUACAAUACCAUACAAAACGAUUGGAUGUUUCCAAAAGAAAUUGACUAAGUUCGUUCGAAUAGUCGUAAACCGUAAUGUUCAUCGAUGUCUUCUGAAACUGUUAUAUCGCGUAGAAUAAAUUGUAAGUACGCGAAAUUAUUGCUACCUCCUUCUAUCUCUCCCUCUCUCUCUACUCAGAUUAUCUUCUAUUAAUAAUAUUUUCUAUAAUCAAUGUAAAACAUAUUUACUCUGUUAAAGGAUGGCGAGUGAGCUUUAUAUAUAACGAACCACUUGUUUAUCGAACAUUUCUAAUAAAAUCAACAACGUUAAUAUACGUGCAUUUUCAUACUAUUUAUUCGAAAUAGUUGGGUUUCUUAAAUUGAGGAAAUCAAAGAAUUUAUACGACAAUUUAUAGCGGACUCGAAGUUAUAUUAGUACAAUUAGAAUAUUCUUAUGCCACUACGGAGAGAGCUCUUGGAAUAUUUAAAAAUCUAAACGCGUUGUAUGUAUAAAUUAGCCAUUUAAUGAAAAUAUUACUUUAUCAAACGGAUGACAGCCACUGACUAAUUUGAUUUAUUUUCCUUCGUUAUUUCUUGACGGUAUUCUCGAUAUUCCUCGUAACUUUAUCAAGAAAUUUCAUUGCGUAUCUUUCGCGUUCGACGUUGUUGCGAGGGCGCGCGAAGAAUCUUCUUCGAAACGAAAUGAAAAGGGAAAAUAAUGCUCGGCGGGAUAAAUGUGAAAGUUCGAGUUUUAUUUGCUAUCAAGUUUUCGCGGAGGAAUACGCGUUUAUUAAUAACACAACACAUUUUCCUUGAGAAGCGCAGGCAUCGCUUAUAAAUAACCAACUUAUUUGUCGUAG